This 497-nucleotide ribosomal RNA is filed under the name uncultured bacterium. RNAcentral describes it as "partial 16S ribosomal RNA". It matches the Rfam family "Bacterial small subunit ribosomal RNA", at positions 28 to 507 of the family's 1533-position model. The record is from RNAcentral.
GAUGAACGCUGGCGGCGUGCCUAAUACAUGCAAGUCGAGCCAACAGACGAGGAGCUUGCUCCUCUGACGUUAGCGGCGGACGGGUGAGUAACACGUGGAUAACCUACCUAUAAGACUGGGAUAACUUCGGGAAACCGGAGCUAAUACCGGAUAAUAUAUUGAACCGCAUGGUUCAAUAGUGAAAGACGGUUUUGCUGUCACUUAUAGAUGGAUCCGCGCCGCAUUAGCUAGUUGGUAAGGUAACGGCUUACCAAGGCAACGAUGCGUCGCCGACCUGAGAGGGUGAUCGGCCACACUGGAACUGAGACACGGUCCAGACUCCUACGGGAGGCAGCAGUAGGGAAUCUUCCGCAAUGGGCGAAAGCCUGACGGAGCAACGCCGCGUGAGUGAUGAAGGUCUUCGGAUCGUAAAACUCUGUUAUUAGGGAAGAACAAAUGUGUAAGUAACUAUGCACGUCUUGACGGUACCUAAUCAGAAAGCCACGGCUAACUACGUG